AGCCGAUCUACUUCUAAUUCUUUGACGAUCUUCAGUCCUGCAAUCAGAGCUUCAUAUUCUGCUCUGUUAUUUAUCGCAGAAAAUUCAAAGUGCAGCACGUACUCCGCGAUGAUUCCUUCUGGAUUGAUCAAGAUCAGGCCCACGCCCGCGCCUGACAUGUUGGAGGAACCGUCCACAUAGAGGGCCCAAAAACUAUCAGGGAGAUUUGUUCUUUCCUCAGGAAAGUUCGAUUGGAGCCCUGGGUUGUCAGCUUCACCUCGUUCAAGUUCAGCCUCUUCCGGGAUAGUGCAUUUCACUAUGA
Molecule: long non-coding RNA, 301 nt
Filed under: Elaeis guineensis (African oil palm)
Lineage: Eukaryota; Viridiplantae; Streptophyta; Magnoliopsida; Arecales; Arecaceae
Description: long non-coding RNA (EGUI_LNC078437)
Source: RNAcentral